CCUACGGGAGGCAGCAGUGAGGAAUAUUGGUCAAUGGACGCAAGUCUGAACCAGCAAUGCCGCGUGCAGGAAGACGGCUCUAUGAGUUGUAAACUGCUUUUGUACGAGGGUAAACGCCGAUACGCGUAUCUGUCUGAAAGUAUAGUACGAAUAAGGAUCGGGUAACUCCGGGCCAGCAGCCGCGGUAGUACGGAGGAGUCAAGCGUUAUCCGGUUUUAUUGGGGUUAAGGGGUGCGUAGGCGGUCCUUUAAGGCAGCGGUAAAAUUGCGGGGCUCAACCCCGUCGGGCCUUUGAAACUGGCAGACUUGAGUGGGCGAGAAGUACGCGGAAUGCGCGGUGUAGCGGUGAAAUGCAUAGAGAUCGCGCAGAACUCCGAUUGCGAAGGCAGCGUACCGGCGCCAGACUGACGCUGAGGCACGAAAGCGUGGGGAUCGAACAGGAUUAGAUACCCCUGUAGUC
This 459-nucleotide ribosomal RNA is filed under the name uncultured bacterium. RNAcentral's name for it is "partial 16S ribosomal RNA". It matches the Rfam family "Bacterial small subunit ribosomal RNA", at positions 338 to 795 of the family's 1533-position model. The record is from RNAcentral.